CAGGCUCACGCGAGCUGGGUGUUUCCUGUCUUUCUUAGUCUGGGUUUGGAGACUCCGGCGCCCUCCGGCUUUUCAUGGAAGAGAUGUCAGGAGAAAGUGUGGUGAGCUCAGCGGUGCCAGCGGCUGCGACCCGCACCACUUCGUUCAAGGGCACAAGCCCCAGCUCCAAGUACGUGAAGCUGAACGUGGGUGGAGCCCUGUACUACACCACCAUGCAGACGCUGACCAAGCAGGACACCAUGCUGAAGGCCAUGUUCAGCGGGCGCAUGGAGGUGCUCACGGACAGUGAAGGCUGGAUCCUCAUUGACCGCUGUGGGAAGCACUUUGGUACGAUACUCAACUACCUUCGUGACGGGGCGGUCCCCUUGCCCGAGAGCCGCCGGGAGAUCGAGGAGCUGCUGGCAGAAGCCAAGUACUACCUGGUCCAGGGCCUGGUGGAAGAGUGCCAGGCAGCCCUGCAACAGAACAAAGAUACUUAUGAGCCUUUCUGCAAAGUUCCUGUCAUCACCUCAUCCAAGGAAGAACAGAAACUUAUAGCGACUUCAAAUAAGCCAGCCGUGAAGUUGCUCUACAACAGAAGUAACAACAAAUACUCGUAUACCAGCAAUUCUGACGACAAUAUGUUGAAGAACAUCGAACUGUUUGAUAAGCUGUCCCUGCGCUUUAAUGGAAGGGUCCUGUUCAUAAAGGAUGUCAUUGGGGACGAAAUCUGCUGCUGGUCCUUCUACGGCCAGGGCCGCAAGAUCGCUGAAGUCUGCUGUACCUCUAUCGUCUACGCCACCGAGAAGAAACAGACCAAGGUGGAGUUCCCUGAAGCCCGGAUCUAUGAGGAGACCCUGAAUAUUUUGCUGUAUGAGGCCCAGGAUGGCCGGGGACCUGACAACGCACUCCUGGAGGCCACGGGUGGGGCGGCCGGACGCUCCCACCACCUGGACGAGGACGAGGAGCGGGAGCGGGAGCGGAUCGAGCGCGUGCGGCGGAUCCACAUCAAGCGCCCGGACGACCGGGCCCACCUCCACCAGUGAGCGGGCAGGGGGCCCCCGAGUGCGCCCGCCCGCCCUGCUCCUCCCUGCUGUGCACGCAGAUCCCCUGAGAGCUCCCGGGCCUCCCACUUCCCCCCGAGUCCGGAGAGACUGCAUAAAAAGCCAGAUGACGAUUUUGGUAUUUCUCGACCAGGUGAACGGAUUGUCUUUACCCAGGUGAACACACCCCUGCUAUUGAACAAGCUGGGUCCAAGGUCUCUGCCUUCCUGAGAAUCCGAGAAGCACUGGAGCCAGGCUUUCCUGGUUCUGGAGGAAGAGAAUGAAUGGGUGUGGUGUGUAUGUGAUAACUUGUCUGCAGUAUUUAUUUCUGUGGGUGUUGACUGCCUCUUGGAGCUUCUCGGGUCGCCUUCCCUCCAGGGUUCAGUUUGUCAGCUCUGAGACGGGUCCUGUAGUCGGCGGUCACCAGCGGUGUCUGCAAGCUCAGUGUUUCCUGACUCCACCCCAGCACCCUGGCCCCAUCCCCGUGCCCGGCACAGGCCCCACGGCUUUGCGAACAGCCCAUCCCGCCCCGGGCAUCGAUCCUAGAGCUUGUUGAAGGACCACAGCUCGUAGCAGUGGAGAUCCCACCUGGGGGGUUCCUGCCUCUCAGCCGCUGUUCCUAGUGUGGCUCUGGAUGCCCGGCUCCGUUGAAGGGGCAGGCCUGUUGCCCCCUCUGCUGAUCUGUGGUCUGGUGCUCGUUGGGACCCCGCAGGGUCUGGCCGAGAGCAGAGCUGCCCCUUCCUCUGCCCUCCUUGUUGACCCACUCCAUUCUGGGAAGGCUGCCUGGCCUGCUUACGGGCGUAGCGCACAGACCACUGCCCGGUGGGCUCCAUUCCUUCCUCCUCGGCCUUCUGCCCCGUUAAGCGGGACUUAUUGCCCCCAGCGGAUGCCCUGCCCUUUGCUUAGGAGAAAUUAAACAUGGCCCCAGACUCUGUUCUGGCGUCCAGACGGGACCACUGCUCACACCAGCAGCCUCAGGACGGCUCACCUGCUGUCAGCGCAGCCGUCACCUGGAGAUCCCUUCCUGUCUCUGCCUCUGAUUCUUACACAGUGUGGCGUGGCCGUCGGUGAGCAGACGGAGAGGACGUGCAGAUCCUUUUGGGUCCGGUCAGUGUGCGUGUUCAUGUUUGUUUAAGGCACGUGUGCGACUGUGGAUGAGGAUGUGUGUCCGUGGGGCCUGGGUGGCCCGCGCUGGAGCCCUGCUGUCUGCACGGCGCUCGUGUGGGACGGACGUUCUCGGUUACCUACCUCCCCGUCUCCUCCGCGCCCGUGACGCACAGAGGGAGUGGUGACGAAUGUGGGUGGUUGAGACUAGGCUGAUAGAGUAGUUCCAAGGAGAUUCGGAUGUGUGUAAGGUAUGGAUGGGUUUUGUCUGCUAUUCAAGGGAAACGUUACCAUUUUAUACCAAAGGUAUGAAUACAGGCAGCCUUUGAUACAGUGUAUUCGAACAAAACGAGUUUAUAUUUUGAAAUGGUUUUUACAGCUUAGACUUUGUACAUCCUGCCCUACUUGUGACAGUUGUAUGCCUUUAUUUUGUAUCCAGCAGCAAAGCCUACAAUAAAACUUUAAAACAAUCAUGACCCAACCUAAAAAUCAUGUAUCGGGUAGAUGCUUUUUAAACUGUUGUGUGGGAAACUUUCAUAUUAGGCCAUUUGGAUUUUAUUAAGUGUUAAGGAUGGGAGGGGAGGGGGCUUAAAUAAUGUUUUGUAAAUAUUUUAUACUGUUUAAGUUUUAAACACCAACCCUGCUGUUUGGGUUGAACUUUUUUAGAAAGUUAAAGUGAAUGUCAGUUCUGAUGUUUUCUGUAGGAAUGGAAAAGCCAUCAUGUAAGUUCUGUUUUUCAAGUGUUUAUGUGACGAGUAACUAACUUUGUGGAACAGUCUGAUUAGUUGGGGCUUCUACACCUUCUGACCAAAUGUUUCUGGCCGUCUCUCUACUUUCACAUUUCCUUCAACUUUGCACUUGUCGUUUGGAGUCUUUGCUUCCCUGGGAUAUGAACAAGUUCAUGAAACAUUCCAUGAAACGCCCAGCACAGUCCAGCCACUGAACUGAAGUGCAAUUCACAGGAAAGAGAGCAGAGCAGAGAGCCCACCUUCUACUUCACCACCUAAAGGUUGCUGCUCAGGGUGGAAAAGAUGAGUCAUUUUUCCGUAGUGUUUGAACUCAAACACUGGAAGGAAGUCUUGGGUGGAAAUGCUGCUGGGCUUGUGAAACAGCAGUCAGCUGCUGUUGCCUCCGACUGCAGGUUCGGGGUGGGGAGAGCUACACCUCACCACGUGGAACCUAAAGCCGUGAAGGAAUUGGGUAUGUUUCUGAGUUUCAUUUAUUUAAAGCAAAAUUCAAAUUUUGCAGCUUUAUGCUCUCAGACCACGUAUAAUACUUCAUUGUGCCUCAGAGGCAGCAUGACAGAGAAUCUGUCACCCCCCGUACUGACAUGUUCAAGUGCCCGUCAAGUGUAGGUCCUAUUGGGGAUGUUUAAAAUCACCCCCUUGGGUGACUUGAGGUUGGCUCCCUAAAGAGAACACGUAGUGCGACAGAACACCUGAGGGUUUGGCCUUUGGCAUAAGAUGCCACUCCGCUUCUUCAGGGACGAUCCUUUUCCUAGAGCUGCUGGAACCUUUGCUUGAAGGUGUCGCUAACUGGACCAAAUUCGAGCUUCCUGGGUGCUUUCCUCAGUUGCAGCAGAAACGGCGAUGGGAGAGAUCAGACGUCAUCCUCCAUCAGGACUUCAUGCGGACCGACACCUGGGGAAGAUACACGCUGAAGCUUAGAGGUCUCUCCUGUCAGGAGGAAGCAGUUAGCAGCGCAGCCGCCCGCAUGGUUGAGGCGGACGUGGACAAGCUGCGAGCAGCCAAGCCCCGUCACCCACACCGUCUCCUGCCCCACCUCCCGUGAGACAAGCCACGUCUAGAAAUGGGCUCACUGAGGCCUCUUAGCUUCAGCCUGAGCCAGCCAGGGAGGAACGGGGACACUUAACAUUGAAUGACUUCCUGAGUACAGACGAAACCACCUACCUUCCCUGAACAACAUUUACAAUGUUCUCCUUCUUAACCAGCAUGACGAGUUUAGUAACUGCCUCAAAUAUGUGUUUGCACUGUAAGACGGCAUCCCCCUGCAGCAGAGAGGAGAGAACACGGCCGGUUCAGUGGUAGCGGCUUCAAAGAAGAACAUCACUGAGGUUUCACUGGGGGAAGCUAAAGAUUUUGGCAGUGUUUCCCUCUGUUAGCAGCCCUGUGGCUGUCAAUUACCUUUUGCUUGUUGUCUUCUGGGGAAACGUGAAUGACUAAGAUUCCGUCGCUGAAGCUGCUGGUAGAGACACCUUAGGACAGAGCCAAAGUUAGGGGCCAGGAACUGGACAACUUGACAUUAAUACAGAAAAAAGAGGCAUUCCUUGGGGGUCCCCAACCCCAGGCUUUUUCCCUCCUAGCUGGGCCAAGUGGGGUGGCCCAGCAAUCAGCACCUGUGCUCGGAAUAAA
Molecule: RNA transcript, 4498 nt
Organism: Balaenoptera ricei (Rice's whale)
Lineage: Eukaryota; Metazoa; Chordata; Mammalia; Artiodactyla; Balaenopteridae
Gene: KCTD10
Gene name: potassium channel tetramerization domain containing 10
Exons: 9
Source: RefSeq, a predicted model, not a curated record